Molecule: long non-coding RNA, 452 nt
Organism: Triplophysa rosa
Lineage: Eukaryota; Metazoa; Chordata; Actinopteri; Cypriniformes; Nemacheilidae
Exons: 3
Source: RefSeq, a predicted model, not a curated record
AGGUGCUUGGUUUAGAUUGAUUGCCACUACCAGAAACAAGUAUGUCCGUACCAUGACUGACCUGUACACCAAGUGGGUGAUUUCAGAACCCAUGCAGUCUAAGACAGCAGCUGAAGCUGAGACAAUGCAUAAUUUUAAACCUGGCAGCUUUCACAAGGAUGUAAACGAUCUGCCUUUAAUUUCAGAUUGGAAAUGCUUGCCUCAAGAUUGUAGAAGCUGCACGACAACAUUUACUGUGUACUAUUGUGGCCCGGUUUCACAGACAAGGCUUAGUUUACGCUAGGACUAGGCCUUAGUUAAUUAUCUGCAUGAUGAUGUAUGCACCUGCACAUCGUGUCCAUUCACAGAGACACCCGAUGGUAGUCUACACCAUUGCAGUCUAUCUGUCCUUCAGGUUUUCUUCCCACCUUUUCGAUUUCAACAUGGCAGCGGAGUGAAAUCUAUUGCAUGUA